Molecule: long non-coding RNA, 582 nt
Organism: Mytilus trossulus (common blue mussel)
Lineage: Eukaryota; Metazoa; Mollusca; Bivalvia; Mytilida; Mytilidae
Exons: 3
Source: RefSeq, a predicted model, not a curated record
CCGGAAGUUUGUUUUUUGAUCGUGAUUGAAGAAGCUUCACUGAAGAAAAUUACAGCAAAGCUUGAUUUAAUAGGGUACAAACACAUCUACAGUACUGAGGGGUAAUUGUUCGUGCAUACCUCGCCGAGAAUGAAGAGAAAAUUUCGCAGUUCAAGAGAUGACUACUUAUCCUGCACCAUAAAAGUACUUUCAUAUAACUCACAGUUGAUGGAUAACAAGGUUAAAGAGUAGUUAUAACCCAAGGAGACGAAUGUUCUAAAAAAUGGAAGCUCAAAAGACGAAUGUUCUAAAAAAAUGGCAGCUCAAAAUCAGUUGUAGACGACUCAAAUCAUGUUCAAAAGUACCUAAGGUAGCAGUGUUACAUGAACACCGACUCGACUAGUAGCAGCAUAUACACAGGGUAUUUUAUGUUUGAUAUUGACUAUCUGAGUGCUAUGAAAGCUGUGGAUCAUCGAAAAUAUUGGUGAUAAACGAGUCAUUGACAUAAGUAUUUUGUAAUUCAGGACAGUGCUUGACUUGAGAAGUUGCAAACGAUGAGUUAAAGUGUGUUCAUAAGUCACUAAACUUUGUUGUUACAUAUUA